GUAUAAAUUAAAACAUAUAUAAAUAUAUUUCAAUUAACUAAAAACAUUAAUAAAUUUAGUAAUGGUGAAAGAAAAUUAUUUUAAACAUGAAAAGUACUGAGAAGGAACUUUUUGAGCUAAUUAAUAAAAAGAAUAAGUUUCUGUACCUUUUGCAUCAUGGUUUAGCUAGAUUUAAUUUUUUUAAGAAAAUUCUCGAAAUCUAAUGGGCUAUUUUUAACCGACAUUAUUAGAUGUAUUAAAACUAAUUGUAGCAAAAAUUUUUUUAGAGUUAAAAAUAGAAAUGAAAUUUUAUCCGUAUUAGAUGAUAGCUAGUUCUUUUCUAAAAGUAUAGAAGUACUGCAAAUUUCUAAUGUUAUUGAAUGAAUAUCUAAAACAUAUAUAGAAGUUUAGUUAGGUUUUUGAGGAUAAGCUCAAAAACAUAAUAAUUUGUAUCUUAAUGUAAAUAGUUAAAUUUAGGCUUGAAAAUGGCCAUAAUGCAUGAUUUUGUUAUAAUUUCAUUACUUUUAUUUACAUAGAAUUGAUUUACUUUACUUCAGAAGAGAAAAUUUUUAAAUAUAAAUUAAAAUUAAACGCAUGCUAAAAUGAGUAUUUAUUAAAGUAUAUUCUUUAUUAUAAUAAAAUUAUAAACUUAAUAGAAUAUUUUUAUUAAAAAUUGAUAAAAGGAACUCGGCAAAACUUGAUUCCGCCUGUUUAUCAAAAACAUGGCUCCUUGCUGUUAAUGAAUAGGGAGUCGGACCUGCUCGGUGAAUAUAUUUUAACAGCCGCGGUACUCUGACCGUGCAAAGGUAGCAUAAUCAUUUGCCUUAUAAUUGAAGGCUAGUAUGAAUGGUUUGACGAGAAUUAAGCUGUCUCUUUUCAACUAAUUAUAACUUUAUUAACAGGUGAAGAAGCCUGUGUUUUAUUGAAAGACAAGAAGACCCUAUCGAGCUUUAAGAAAUUUAAUAGGCUUAUCAUAUAUUUAUACAGAUGUAAGGCUAUUAAGAACUUUGGUUGGGGCGACUGAGGAACAUAAAAAGCUUCCUUUACAAUUUAAGAACUUACAAGUAUUGAUCCAAUAAAUUUGAUUAAAGGAAUUAGUUACCGUAGGGAUAACAGCAUAAUCUUCUUUGAGAGUUCUUAUCGAAAAGAGGGUUUGUGACCUCGAUGUUGGACCAGAAUACCCAGAAGAUGCAGCCGUCUUCAAUGGUUGGUCUGUUCGACCAUUAAAAUUCUACGUGAUCUGAGUUCAGACCGGCGUGAGCCAGGUCAGUUUCUAUCUUCAAUUUUUAUAAUGGCCUUAGUACGAAAGGACCAGGCUAUUGCAAUAUAAUUUGUUAUUUUGCGAUUUAAUAUAAAAAAUAAUUCAUUUUAUGAUUAGU
Molecule: ribosomal RNA, 1358 nt
Filed under: Indothais sacellum
Lineage: Eukaryota; Metazoa; Mollusca; Gastropoda; Neogastropoda; Muricidae
Description: large subunit ribosomal RNA
Rfam family: Bacterial large subunit ribosomal RNA
Source: RNAcentral